CCGACGCCAAAGUCCCCGACUGCCAGGCCGGCUGGGAAAAGGCGAUGACCAUCCUCCUGGCGGCCAUGGGCGGCUCCAACUAUGUCCAC
RNAcentral lists this non-coding RNA (89 nucleotides) under uncultured Desulfococcus sp. RNAcentral's name for it is "Pyrrolysine insertion sequence mttB". It matches the Rfam family "Pyrrolysine insertion sequence mttB", at positions 5 to 93 of the family's 100-position model. Lineage: Bacteria; Pseudomonadati; Thermodesulfobacteriota; Desulfobacteria; Desulfobacterales; Desulfococcaceae. The record is from RNAcentral.